Molecule: ribosomal RNA, 458 nt
Filed under: uncultured bacterium
Lineage: Bacteria
Description: partial 16S ribosomal RNA
Rfam family: Bacterial small subunit ribosomal RNA
Source: RNAcentral
CCUACGGGUGGCAGCAGUGAGGAAUAUUGGUCAAUGGGCGAGAGCCUGAACCAGCCAAGUCGCGUGAGGGAGUACUGCCCUAUGGGUUGUAAACCUCUUUUGUCGGGGAGCAAAAGCCGGACGUGUCCGGCUGUGAGAGUACCCGAAGAAAAAGCAUCGGCUAACUCCGUGCCAGCAGCCGCGGUAAUACGGAGGAUGCGGGCGUUAUCCGGAUUUAUUGGGGUAAAAGGGUGCGCAGGCGGAUUUUGAGGUCAGCGGUAAAGUCGUGGGGCUCAACCCCAUCCAGCCGUUGAAACUGGGGAUCUAGAGUGUGCGAGAGGUAUGCAGAAUGCGUGGUGUAGCGGUGAAAUGCAUAGAUAUCACGCAGAACCCCGGUGGCGAAGGCGGCAUACCGGUGCACAACUGACGCUCAGGCACGAAAGCGUGGGUAUCGAACAGGAUUAGAUACCCGGGUAGUC